GUAGGGAAUCUUCCACAAUGGACGAAAGUCUGAUGGAGCAACGCCGCGUGAGUGAAGAAGGUCUUCGGAUCGUAAAACUCUGUUGUUAGAGAAGAACGUGCAUGAUAGUAACUGAUCAUGUAAUGACGGUAUCUAACCAGAAAGCCACGGCUAACUACGUGCCAGCAGCCGCGGUAAUACGUAGGUGGCAAGCGUUGUCCGGAUUUAUUGGGCGUAAAGGGAACGAAGGCGGUUUUUUAAGUCUGAUGUGAAAGCCUUCGGCUUAACCGAAGAAUAGCAUUGGAAACUGGAAGACUUGAGUGCAGAAGAGGAGGGUGGAAUUCCAUGUGUAGCGGUGAAAUGCGUAGAUAUAUGGAGGAACACCAGUGGCGAAAGCGGCUCUCUGGUCUGUAACUGACGCUGAGGUUCGAAAGCGUGGGUAGCAAACAGGAUUAGAAACCCGGGUAGUCC
RNAcentral lists this ribosomal RNA (450 nucleotides) under uncultured bacterium. Its description in RNAcentral is "partial 16S ribosomal RNA". It matches the Rfam family "Bacterial small subunit ribosomal RNA", at positions 354 to 796 of the family's 1533-position model. The record is from RNAcentral.